UCAUAUUGUCCCUAAUCAGGGCCUACGAGGCCUUAAAAAUGCUUUAGAAGUGGUUCGGGACUAAACCGACAACAUAUGAAAAUUUUGGAAGCUUAGAAAAAUUUUAACAUUCUAAGGGUCACACGCUCGUGUGAACAGGCCGUGUGCCUCAUACGGCUAGUAGACACGCCCGUGUCAUAGACCGUGUGGAAACAGGGCAUACUUACUAACUUGCAUCACAAAGUCGAAGACACUCCCGUGUGCCAAGCCGUGUGAAAAUUGGAGGGUAUACUGACUUAUCAACACGGCCAAUUCGCACGCCCAUGUGCUAG
RNAcentral lists this long non-coding RNA (311 nucleotides) under Gossypium barbadense (sea-island cotton). Its description in RNAcentral is "long non-coding RNA (GBAR_LNC002380)". The record is from RNAcentral. Lineage: Eukaryota; Viridiplantae; Streptophyta; Magnoliopsida; Malvales; Malvaceae.